GAAAUGCGAUAAGUAAUGUGAAUUGCAGAAUUCAGUGAAUCAUCGAAUCUUUGAACGCACAUUGCGCCCGCCAGUAUUCUGGCGGGCAUGCCUGUUCGAGCGUCAUUUCCACCAUCAGGCCCCCGGGCCUGUGUUGGGGACCUGCGGCUGCCCGCAGGCCCCGAAAUUCAGUGGCGGUCGCGCCGUAGCAAUCGAGCGUAGUAACUAAAACGUCUCGCUCUGGCUCGCUGGGCGCGCUCCGGCCGUAAAACACCCCCCCUUUUCGCAAAGGUUGACCUCGGAUCAGGUAGGAAUACCCGCUGAACUUAAGC
This 311-nucleotide unclassified non-coding RNA is filed under the name plant metagenome. RNAcentral's name for it is "partial contains 5.8S ribosomal RNA, internal transcribed spacer 2, and large subunit ribosomal RNA". The stretch from base 1 to 105 matches the Rfam family "5.8S ribosomal RNA", at positions 50 to 154 of the family's 154-position model. The record is from RNAcentral.